ACACACAUGGAAAACUUGAGUUGUGCUCAAGUAAAUUUGAUUCACUGUAAAUGUCACUGCAGAUAAAGCUUUUCAAGAAGGGUGCAAGAGUAGACAGGACUUGGAGGAUCAGCUAGUAACCUGCUGGACACAUGGAUAGGUCAUGUGGAUUCCUUACACGGCAGGAAGUUGGAAGUUGGACAACCUACUUGGAUUUCAUCCGUAAGACCAUGGACAACAUAUAUUGGAAUGGUUGUUUGGAUUUAGAAUGAAGAGAUGAACAGGACCAGAAAGUCAAAGAGUGUGAUUUGAGGUGCUUAUAACAUUUAGAAAAUAACAUCCUUUGGGCUUGAAACUUGUGUUUGGAGAGAUCAAAGCUGACGCAGGGAUGGAAAACAAUUGUGUAGAUUCCUUUUCCAAAUUUGCUGACACACAAAAGGAUAUGAAAUGAAGAUGGAGAGAUAUAACAACUGCUACUUGGGAACACAGCUACAUAAACAGUAGAAAAAUUCAGCUUGGAAAAAAACGUGGACAUCUGUACUUGAAGACCAUAUUCACUGCAAGUCUAACUUCCCAUUGGAUCAGCUUGCUCAAGGUCUUAAAUGAGUUCUGCCAGUUUCCCAGGAUGGUGUUUAUACAACCUUUCCAGAAAACUUGUUCUGCUACUUAACCAUCCUAAAUGUUAACUUUUAUUUUUUCCCUUUACGUCUAGUUGUGCACUUUCUUACUCGGUAUCACGUGGUACAUUUGGAAUGAUAAGACUACCAAGUAUGUUUAAACAGCAGACCUAAGGAAUGUUUUCUUCCUCCCUGGAUGUUUAUGCACUUUCUGGCUGUGUCCUGUCACUGACAAGUUACAUACAUACACAGUAGAAGCGUAUUAUUUGAGCCAGAGCUGAUCUGGCACCAGGACUUCAGACUCAUCGGGGAUUUGUCACAUGAGGUGCUCUGUAUCUGGUAGUACACAUUGUGUCUGGUAUGAACAAGGAGGGUAUGGAGCACAGAAUUUUGAAGACAAAAGCGUUGCUGCCUAGGGAGUCCUAACUUUAUGUCUCCAUGUUCUUCCUAUGUUAGUAUUUUGUUUAUAUCAAAGCCAAUGACACUGAGAUAUUUUCAAGUACCUGUCAAUAACUUCCUACCCCUAUUCUGUAUUCAAGUGAGAACUAAGACCAGAAUUUGUACAUUUUCAUUGUCUUUUGCUUAUUGACCCGCUACUAUGAUUUCUGAGCAGAAGAGCAUAGUUCAGCCUGGAAUCAAAAAAAUGUCAAAGAGCAGGAAGAAGGUCUGCACCCAAACAGAUACAUCAACUUCAGUGAUGCCUCUAGACUCAAGGCAAGAUAGAAUAAAGCUUUUGGAGUGAAAUUGAACAUGCAGCUUUAGUAAAGAACAACAAAUCCCUUAGCAUAGACCAGAUGGAGAGAGAAACUUCUAAGGACAAUGUGUGCACUGGGUAGAAAGUGGGCACUGACAACAGGCAAGGCUGGAGAGAAAUUCCAAUCACUCCUACAACCAGUCUUAAAUUCUGAAAUCAACAUUUCUCAGCCAUGUUACUGAGUCCUCUCACAGAGACUAAAAAGAUGAGUGUAUUUUCCAUUGUUUUUGCUUUUGUUCCAUUAUGGUUGUUUAUUUUUUCCUUUCUCAUACAAAUGGCUUUAGCUUUCCAUCAAACUGUGAUUGUUAUUAUCUUUUAUAUCUGCACACAGCUUGUGUCUAAGUACUGUUAUGGACAAAAGACUGUCUACCAUAAGGCAGAAAGAUAAAACAAAAUGGUGUUCAGUGGUCUAUAAAAUAAUAGAAAAAUCUUG
Molecule: long non-coding RNA, 1783 nt
Organism: Gallus gallus (chicken)
Lineage: Eukaryota; Metazoa; Chordata; Aves; Galliformes; Phasianidae
Source: Ensembl